Molecule: ribosomal RNA, 351 nt
Filed under: uncultured bacterium
Lineage: Bacteria
Description: bacterial SSU rRNA
Rfam family: Bacterial small subunit ribosomal RNA
Source: RNAcentral
GUAGUUAACACCUGCAUUAUUUGACGUUACCUACAGAAGAAGCACCGGCUAACUCCGUGCCAGCAGCCGCGGUAAUACGGAGGGUGCGAGCGUUAAUCGGAAUUACUGGGCGUAAAGCGCAUGCAGGCGGCCUCGUUAAGUCAGAUGUGAAAGCCUGGGGCGUUAACCUCGGAAUUGCAUUUGUAAACUGGCAGGCUAGAGUCUUGUAGAGGGGGGUAGGAAUUUCAGGUGUAGCGGUGAAAUAGCGUAGAGAUCUGAAGGAAUACCAGUGGCGAAGGCGGCCCCCUGGACAAAGACUGACGCUCAGAUGCGAAAGCGUGGGGAGCAAACAGGAUUAGAUACCCCUGGUAG